RNAcentral lists this ribosomal RNA (568 nucleotides) under uncultured bacterium. Its description in RNAcentral is "bacterial SSU rRNA". It matches the Rfam family "Bacterial small subunit ribosomal RNA", at positions 318 to 902 of the family's 1533-position model. The record is from RNAcentral.
GUNNCCGCCGCCCCCGCCCGCCUACGGGAGGCAGCAGUGAGGAAUAUUGCGCAAUGGGGGCAACCCUGACGCAGCGAUACCGCGUGGGAGAAGAAGGUCUUCGGAUUGUAAAUCCCUUUCAGUGGGGACGAUAGUGACGGUACCCACAGAAGAAGCUCCGGCUAACUCCGUGCCAGCAGCCGCGGUAAUACGGAGGGGGCGAGCGUUGUUCGGAAUUACUGGGCGUAAAGGGCGCGUAGGCGGUUUUGCAAGUCAGGAGUGAAAGCCCCAGGCUCAACCUGGGAAUGUCUCUUGAAACUGCAAGACUGGAGUCCGGCAGAGGGUGACGGAAUUCCCCGUGUAGAGGUGAAAUUCGUAGAUAUGGGGAGGAACACCAGAGGCGAAGGCGGUUGCCUGGACCGGUACUGACGCUGAGGCGCGAAAGCGUGGGGAGCGAACAGGAUUAGAUACCCUGGUAGUCCACGCUGUAAACGAUGAGUGCUAGUUGUUGCGGGUAUCGACCCCUGCGGCAACGCAGCUAACGCGUUAAGCACUCCGCCUGGGGAGUACGGCCGCAAGGCUAAAACUC